GAUUUUGGUGCAAUAUACAAGGUGUAGCAUAUUAUUAAGGAAGGUGCGACGAGAAAGUUACAUACUGGUAAUUCUUGGUAAAUGGUGGAGGUUUGAUUCAAAUCUUCAUACCCAAAUAUAUUUGUUACACUUAUAAAAUUAUAUUAAUUGUGUUGAAUUUAUUUCAGGUUCAUAAUUAGUAUACUAAUUAUACGCUGUGCUGCAUUCAUCAUUUUGAGAGCAUUCUAUUUCGAUUCAUAAGGAGGAGUAGCUUCAGUUUUGAUCACAACUAAAUUAGUGUUGUUAUAUCAGGUAAUCAGGGGUAGCGGGGAUCGUGAUGAGUGACACCCACCUUUAGUUGCUUUCGUUGUUAGGGGCUAUAAUAAGACUUUAGAGCUUAUAUUUCUAUUGAUUUCAGACUUUGUUGGAUUUAUUAUCAUGGAGUUUCAGACUUUAUUAUCCAUAUUGACAUUUUGGUUGUUAAAUUAUUAUAUUAUUUCUGAAUGAA
This is a long non-coding RNA of Daucus carota subsp. sativus, 487 nucleotides long. RefSeq lists it as uncharacterized. The transcript is spliced from 3 exons. The record is from RefSeq and is a predicted model, not a curated record. Lineage: Eukaryota; Viridiplantae; Streptophyta; Magnoliopsida; Apiales; Apiaceae.